CCCUUAGAUGUUCUGGGCUGCACGCGCGCUACACUGUCGGAUUCAGCGAGUCAUAUCCUUAACCGAAAGGUUUGGGUAAUCUUUUGAAAGUCCGACGUGAUGGGGAUUGAUCAUUGCAAUUAUUGAUCAUGAACGAGGAAUUCCUAGUAAGCGCGAGUCAUCAGCUCGCGUUGAUUACGUCCCUGCCCUUUGUACACACCGCCCGUCGCACCUACCGAUUGAAUGGUCCGGUGAAAUCUCGGGAUUGUGGCCAGUUCACUUUAUUGGGAGUUGGCUGCGAGAACUUGCUUAAACCUUAUCAUUUAGAGGAAGGUGAAGUCGUAACA
This 326-nucleotide ribosomal RNA is filed under the name uncultured eukaryote. RNAcentral describes it as "partial 18S ribosomal RNA". It matches the Rfam family "Eukaryotic small subunit ribosomal RNA", at positions 1470 to 1796 of the family's 1831-position model. The record is from RNAcentral.